GCCAGCCCGCUCAGAAACUCAAGGAAUUGACGGGGGCCCGCACAAGCGGUGGAGCAUGUGGUUUAAUUCGAUGCAACGCGAAGAACCUUACCUGGUCUUGACAUCCCGGAGACCCUUAGGAAACUAGGGGGUGCUUCCAUCUGGAAGAAUCUGGAGACAGGUGCUGCAUGGCUGUCGUCAGCUCGUGUCGUGAGAUGUUGGGUUAAGUCCCGCAACGAGCGCAACCCUUGCCUUUAGUUGCCAGCAGUUCGGCUGGGCACUCUAAAGGGACUGCCGGUGUUAAACCGGAGGAAGGUGGGGAUGACGUCAAGUCCUCAUGGCCUUUAUGACCAGGGCUACACACGUACUACAAUGGCCGAUACAAAGGGCAGCGACACUGCGAGGUGAAGCCAAUCCCGUAAAAUCGGUCUCAGUCCGGAUUGGAGUCUGCAACUCGACUCCAUGAAGUUGGAAUCGCUAGUAAUCGUGGAUCAGCAUGCCACGGUGAAUACGUUCCCGGGCCUU
RNAcentral lists this ribosomal RNA (504 nucleotides) under uncultured Desulfobulbus sp. RNAcentral describes it as "bacterial SSU rRNA". It matches the Rfam family "Bacterial small subunit ribosomal RNA", at positions 904 to 1382 of the family's 1533-position model. The record is from RNAcentral. Lineage: Bacteria; Pseudomonadati; Thermodesulfobacteriota; Desulfobulbia; Desulfobulbales; Desulfobulbaceae.